GAUGAACGCUGGCGGCGUGCCUAAUACAUGCAAGUCGAGCGAACAGACGAGGAGCUUGCUCCUCUGACGUUAGCGGCGGACGGGUGAGUAACACGUGGAUAACCUACCUAUAAGACUGGGAUAACUUCGGGAAACCGGAGCUAAUACCGGAUAAUAUAUUGAACCGCAUGGUUCAAUAGUGAAAGACGGCCUUGCUGUCACUUAUAGAUGGAUCCGCGCCGUAUUAGCUAGUUGGUAAGGUAACGGCUUACCAAGGCAACGAUACGUAGCCGACCUGAGAGGGUGAUCGGCCACACUGGAACUGAGACACGGUCCAGACUCCUACGGGAGGCAGCAGUAGGAAAUCUUCCGCAAUGGGCGAAAGCCUGACGGAGCAACGCCGCGUGAGUGAUGAAGGUCUUCGGAUCGUAAAACUCUGUUAUCAGGGAAGAACAAACGUGUAAGUAACUGUGCACGUCUUGACGGUACCUGAUCAGAAAGCCACGGCUAACUACGUGC
This 498-nucleotide ribosomal RNA is filed under the name uncultured bacterium. RNAcentral describes it as "bacterial SSU rRNA". It matches the Rfam family "Bacterial small subunit ribosomal RNA", at positions 28 to 508 of the family's 1533-position model. The record is from RNAcentral.